This 536-nucleotide ribosomal RNA is filed under the name Zeus faber (John dory). RNAcentral describes it as "partial 16S ribosomal RNA". It matches the Rfam family "Bacterial large subunit ribosomal RNA", at positions 1851 to 2587 of the family's 2925-position model. Lineage: Eukaryota; Metazoa; Chordata; Actinopteri; Zeiformes; Zeidae. The record is from RNAcentral.
GGUCCCGCCUGCCCUGUGACUUAAAGUUUAACGGCCGCGGUAUUUUGACCGUGCAAAGGUAGCGCAAUCACUUGUCUUUUAAAUGAAGACCUGUAUGAAUGGCAUCACGAGGGCUUAGCUGUNUCCUUUUUCAAGUCAAUGAAAUUGAUCUCCCCGUGCAGAAGCGGGGAUAAUAAUAUAAGACGAGAAGACCCUAUGGAGCUUUAGACCUAAUGCAGUCCACGAAUAAUACUUUUGAUUAUAAAAGAAAAGCUCAAUGGAUCCUGCACACCUGUCUUUGGUUGGGGCGACCGCGGGGAAAAAUAAAACCCCCACGAGGAUUGAGAGUUCUACCUCCUAAAACCAAGAGCCACAGCUCUAAGUAACAGAAAUUCUGACCUAAAUGAUCCGGGCAACCGAUCAACGAACCGAGUUACCCUAGGGAUAACAGCGCAAUCCCCUUCCAGAGCCCAUAUCGACAAGGGGGUUUACGACCUCGAUGUUGGAUCAGGACAUCCUAAUGAGCAGCCGCUAUUAAGGGUUCGUUUGUUCAACGA